This 252-nucleotide long non-coding RNA is filed under the name Elaeis guineensis (African oil palm). RNAcentral describes it as "long non-coding RNA (EGUI_LNC016538)". Lineage: Eukaryota; Viridiplantae; Streptophyta; Magnoliopsida; Arecales; Arecaceae. The record is from RNAcentral.
GGGUGUCUGGUGGAGAGAGGUGGUUCUCCAUUUUAAGAGAAGCUCGGACGUUGCUGGCGAGCCUUCUACCGUUGGGUACCUUGGGCGCUAGUGUUGCAGACGAAGGUCAUCUGCUGUAGAAGCUCGGUCAGGGGCUUUCUGUGGACGAAGUUUGGUUUCAUACAGAAUCUGAUAGAAGGUCGACCGGCAGCGGAUGUCGGAUGGCGCUGGAGAGGUUCACCCACUGGAGGGGUCUGGCUGCUGGAGUCUGUG